Molecule: non-coding RNA, 384 nt
Organism: Cricetulus griseus (Chinese hamster)
Lineage: Eukaryota; Metazoa; Chordata; Mammalia; Rodentia; Cricetidae
Source: RefSeq, a predicted model, not a curated record
GAUAAGAUAAGUCUUAUAAAAUAUAUAGAUGUAUGAUAAUUGAGACUGAGCUAACAGAUUGAUUCUGAAUCCUGGCACUUUGCUGAAUUUGUUUACCAUAUCUUCUGGUAAAACUGUUGAGAUCUUUAAUGUAUAGUAUCAUGGCAUCUGAAAACAGAGUCCCACUCUUCUACAUAUCAUACUGAAUCUACCACUGACAAAUGAAUGUGGGUUCCAGUACCACUUUCAACCAACAAAAUCCAGGAUGCUCAGAGUUCUCAUGGUUCUCUUUCUCACCCAAAGGAAGGGUAAGGCAGAGCCUUAGCAUGAACAGAUAUCAACACAUGUAUUCUUUAAAAGCAAUCAUAUCUAGGGCAAAAAGAAAAUAAAAAAACUUCAAUCAUU